AUUGAACGCUGGCGGCAUGCCUUACACAUGCAAGUCGAACGGUAACAGGUUAAGCUGACGAGUGGCGAACGGGUGAGUAAUGUAUCGGAACGUGCCCAGUCGUGGGGGAUAACUGCUCGAAAGAGCAGCUAAUACCGCAUACGACCUGAGGGUGAAAGCGGGGGAUCGCAAGACCUCGCGCGAUUGGAGCGGCCGAUAUCAGAUUAGGUAGUUGGUGAGGUAAAGGCUCACCAAGCCGACGAUCUGUAGCUGGUCUGAGAGGACGACCAGCCACACUGGGACUGAGACACGGCCCAGACUCCUACGGGAGGCAGCAGUGGGGAAUUUUGGACAAUGGGCGCAAGCCUGAUCCAGCCAUGCCGCGUGCGGGAAGAAGGCCUUCGGGUUGUAAACCGCUUUUGUCAGGGAAGAAAAGGUUCUGGCUAAUACCUGGGACUCAUGACGGUACCUGAAGAAUAAGCACCGGCUAACUACGUGCCAGCAGCCGCCGUAAUAC
RNAcentral lists this ribosomal RNA (496 nucleotides) under uncultured bacterium. RNAcentral's name for it is "bacterial SSU rRNA". It matches the Rfam family "Bacterial small subunit ribosomal RNA", at positions 30 to 526 of the family's 1533-position model. The record is from RNAcentral.